This 253-nucleotide ribosomal RNA is filed under the name uncultured bacterium. RNAcentral describes it as "partial 16S ribosomal RNA". It matches the Rfam family "Bacterial small subunit ribosomal RNA", at positions 524 to 776 of the family's 1533-position model. The record is from RNAcentral.
UACAGAGGUGGCAAGCGUUGUUCGGAAUUACUGGGCGUAAAGGGCGCGUAGGCGGCCAUCUAAGUCAGACGUGAAAUCCCCCGGCUUAACCUGGGAACUGCGUCUGAUACUGGAAGGCUUGAGUAUGGGAGAGGGAUGUAGAAUUCCAGGUGUAGCGGUGAAAUGCGUAGAUAUCAGGAGGAACACCGGUGGUGUAGACGGCUCUCUGGACCGUAACUGACGCUGAGACACGAAAGCGUGGGUAGCAAACAGG